RNAcentral lists this ribosomal RNA (378 nucleotides) under uncultured bacterium. RNAcentral's name for it is "bacterial SSU rRNA". It matches the Rfam family "Bacterial small subunit ribosomal RNA", at positions 521 to 898 of the family's 1533-position model. The record is from RNAcentral.
UAAUACGGAGGGUGCAAGCGUUAAUCGGAAUUACUGGGCGUAAAGCGCACGCAGGCGGUUUGUUAAGUCAGAUGUGAAAUCCCCGAGCUUAACUUGGGAACUGCAUUUGAAACUGGCAAGCUAGAGUCUUGUAGAGGGGGGUAGAAUUCCAGGUGUAGCGGUGAAAUGCGUAGAGAUCUGGAGGAAUACCGGUGGCGAAGGCGGCCCCCUGGACAAAGACUGACGCUCAUGUGCGAAAGCGUGGGGAGCAAACAGGAUUAGAUACCCUGGUAGUCCACGCUGUAAACGAUGUCGACUUGGAGGUUGUGCCCUUGAGGCGUGGCUUCCGGAGCUAACGCGUUAAGUCGACCGCCUGGGGAGUACGGCCGCAAGGUUAAA